This 394-nucleotide ribosomal RNA is filed under the name uncultured bacterium. RNAcentral describes it as "bacterial SSU rRNA". It matches the Rfam family "Bacterial small subunit ribosomal RNA", at positions 505 to 898 of the family's 1533-position model. The record is from RNAcentral.
GUGCCAGCAGCCGCGGUAAUACAGAGGGUGCAAGCGUUAAUCGGAAUUACUGGGCGUAAAGCGCGCGUAGGCGGUUGUAUAAGUUGGAUGUGAAAUCCCCGGGCUUAACCUGGGCACUGCAUUCAAAACUGUACGGCUAGAGUGUAGGAGAGGAAGGUAGAAUUCCAGGUGUAGCGGUGAAAUGCGUAGAUAUCUGGAGGAAUACCGAUGGCGAAGGCAGCCUUCUGGCCUAACACUGACGCUGAGGUGCGAAAGCAUGGGGAGCAAACAGGAUUAGAUACCCUGGUAGUCCAUGCCGUAAACGAUGUCUACUAGCCGUUGGGGGACUUGAUCCUUUAGUGGCGCAGCUAACGCAUUAAGUAGACCGCCUGGGGAGUACGGUCGCAAGACUAAA